Gallus gallus (chicken) is the source of this 1570-nucleotide long non-coding RNA. The record is from Ensembl. NCBI's taxonomy places the organism in Eukaryota, Metazoa, Chordata, Aves, Galliformes, Phasianidae.
AAAAAUUGGCCUUUAGAGCCUUUCUCCAGUGUAUGUGCUUCUCUGCCUGGGACUCCUGAUGGCCACCUCAGCCAGCACAGGAGCAAGUCUCUGAGGCUGUCCAGCUUGAUGGCAACCAGAAUCCCUUGUUAAAGAUAUAGUCACCUCCUGUUUCUGUUGGUACUUCACUGGAAGAGUCUCCAACAGGCUGGACAAGUUUCUACCCAUCAUGGCAUUCUUCACCAUUUCAAAGCUUGUCAGGGGCAGGUGUCGGCAGUAUAGCUGGAACCUUCCCACCGUUAUUCCUUUACAUGUUGUUGCUGUAUGACAGAUGGCAGCAGAGGGGCAGUGUGACAGAAUGGCAUCUGACAUGGAAGUGUGGAUGAAGCAAAGGUGUGCCACUCAGUUCCUCCAUACAGGAAAAUAUUAUAUCCCUUGAUAUUCAGUGAUGCUUGCUGAAUGUUUCUGGAGACCAAACAGUGGAUAUGAGUUCAGUGAAGAGGUGGGUGGUGCAUUUCAGCAGUGGUGAAAGUGAAUCACUUCCACUGGCACAGGAAUUUAUGAAUGCAUCAUGCAGGCAUUUAUUCAUCUCUGGCAAAAACGUGCAGCUAAUGGUGGUGACUACAUGGAAAAAAAGACUGUUCUGUUGCUGAGGAUUUUCUCUAUGAAAUGGUGUUAUUCUAAUCUUUGUAUCUGUUGUAGUUUCCAUGGAAAUAAAUAGGAGGCAUGACUUUCAGAGCAACCUUUAUAUGUUCCCUAGUGAUAAAACAUGCAAUAUAGAGUCUGAAAUUUAAAAUUGGUUAACUUCCUGGACUAAAGUGUUACACUUUACAACCUGUAAAUGCUCCAAGUGGAAAUAAAUCCUGUGUGAUGUGAUAUGAUCUUGCAGCAUAUGCAUAUUCUAGUCUCAGUUCAGCAAGGCACUUAGUUUUGCAGAUGUUUUGUCUUGCAUGCAUAUUGUCAACUCAGCAGGGGUAUUUGCCUAGUUAAAUGUAAGGAUGUGUUUGAGUGCUCUACUAGAUGAGAUUUGGAGCAGUCCUCCCCUAUCAAGAUCCUGCUUACUGUGAAUAACGCAGCAGGCUCCACAAGGCAGAGACAACCCGGUCACGCUGGAAAGCACUGACUUACUCACCAGAAGCUCUAAAGUUACAACAACAGCUCAGUUAUGAAUGCUCCUACCAGGCUACAAAUAUGUACCUAACAGACAGAAGAGUAUAUAUGUGCAGAACAGUGCAGUGCACCUGAUUCCUUAAUUCUGUCUUAAAGAUUAAUAGGAUAAAGAUUUCAAAAGACAGACUUCUAGCUAUUGACAGUCCCUGGUUUCUUGCAGGCUGGACUAACAGGUCACUGUUGCACAAACGCAGAUGCUCCCAGCACCACUAAAUGUCAGUAGAUUGCCUUCUGUUAGAGUCUCGCCACCAAUUGUGUUUCUCCUAAAGAAAUCAUUCCAUCCUUUGUUUAGGAAUCGGUGAAGUUCAUCUAUACAUCUUCUACUCUUGACUUGCCAAUUAUUACUCUUGACUGCAAAUUAUUUCUUUCAUUCUAAAACGUAAUCUUCUUUAAAAAAAAAAAAAAAGGUGAAAUAGUUUUC